This 506-nucleotide ribosomal RNA is filed under the name uncultured bacterium. Its description in RNAcentral is "partial 16S ribosomal RNA". It matches the Rfam family "Bacterial small subunit ribosomal RNA", at positions 30 to 523 of the family's 1533-position model. The record is from RNAcentral.
AUUGAACGCUGGCGGCAGGCCUAACACAUGCAAGUCGAACGGUAACAGGAAGAAGCUUGCUUCUUUGCUGACGAGUGGCGGACGGGUGAGUAAUGUCUGGGAAACUGCCUGUUGGAGGGGGAUAACUACUGGAAACGGUAGCUAAUACCGCAUAACGUCGCAAGACCAAAGAGGGGGACCUUCGGGCCUCUUGCCAUCGGAUGUGCCCAGAUGGGAUUAGCUAGUAGGUGGGGUAACGGCUCACCUAGGCGACGAUCCCUAGCUGGUCUGACAGGAUGACCAGCCACACUGGAACUGAGACACGGUCCAGACUCCUACGGGAGGCAGCAGUGGGGAAUAUUGCACAAUGGGCGAAAGCCUGAUGCAGCCAUGCCGCGUGUAUGAAGAAGGCCUUCGGGUUGUAAAGUACUUUCAGCGGGGAGGAAGGGAGUAAAGUUAAUACCUUUGCUCAUUGACGUUACCCGCAGAAGAAGCACCGGCUAACUCCGUGCCAGCAGCCGCGGUAA